UAUUUGAAGAAUUAAAAUUAUUUCUUCCACUUUAACUUGAAAUCCCAUUCUCAGGUUUAUUAUUUCCAACAAUGAAUUCCUAUUUCUUCACUAGGCAUUUCUUAUGUUUUUUUUUUUCUUUUGCAGCAUCUAGCUCAGUGCAUGGCUCAUAUCUGUUCAGUGAAUAAAUAAAAGGGAUGUCUCCUGUGUGUAUGGCAAUGGUCACUCAUUCAAAGUCGGACAGGUAACACAUGAGUGAGGCAGAGGGUGGAGACUUGGCAAACUGGAGAACAAGGUAGGUCCUGUUAAAGGGGAAGCAGCACCUGCUCAGCCACAGCAGAUUGUGGCCAUCUGGGGAGUUGGAGUCUUGUGUUGCCAGGUUUUCUGGGUUUUCAAGAGAAGAAAACUGGAUUCUUUUGUGGGAUCUUCAGUAUUUUAGCACCAGAAACUUUUUCAUUUGGUUUGUUUGGGUUUUUUUGUAAGUGCUUUGGCCCACACAGACUCCCUAUUAUUUCACACUGGAAGGCUGCCAAGUUGAAACUUGACAUUUAGAUAAGAGGUUGAAGAGAUCUUAGAGCUCAUUCCUGUCAAGCCCCUUCGUUUUACAGAUGGUUUCUGAGGCUGAAAGAAGAGAAGUGACUUGCUCAAAGUCUCAGUUACUUGAUGGCAAAACAAGGCUAAAAGUUGAUUUUCCUGGUCUGUAACCCAGCACUUUAUUAUCCUUAACUAGAACACCUCCUUUAUGAUGGCCUUCUUCACAAGUUCUAGAUGGCAAAUCCUCCAGUAUAGUGUAUGUUGUGUGCAUGUGCACUUGUGUGCAUGUGCAUGUGUGUGACUGAGUUCUGUGGACCUGGAGAUUCAUUCUAAUCAAAAGAUAUCUAUCAGGAGCAAUGUGACUCAUUUGACUGCCUCUGAAACCAUCUUCCUUGAAUUCUCAGAAACAUAAAGUAGCUGUAUACAUAGGAUCUCACUUAUUACUUGUUAGACUCUUUUUAAUCACAGAAGCUUGAAAAUUUGACAAGAGCAUUGAAUGGAUUAUUGUACGAGAGUAGUGGGAUUUCUUCUAGAAAACCAUGUGUGUAUUGAUGUUUAUAGAAGCAGCUAACUUAUGGAAGCUUGUAUCUGAGCUAUAAGCUCAGCUUGCAGAGAGUAAUUUUGUUUUCUAUAAUUUAUAAUUUCUUAUGUAAUAUAACUUGCCUAUUUGCUUUGGCUCCAAUGACAGGUAUUAUUCCUACUUCACUUGGAAGUUCCCUAUUAUUCACCUUAUUAAAGACAAAUGCAUCAACUUGGCAGUGAAGUCUGUCAAUAACAUGAUCCCAACUACUUCUCCAGCUUCCUCUGCUGCUUUUCUUACCACGUGUACACAACACUGCAAGUGCACUGUAUGACUACUGUUCCCUCAGCACUCCCUGAAAUUUCCUGGUUUACUGCCUGCUUUUUAUCUCAUCCUUUAGAAAUUGUAACUAUCCAAAGGCCCAUUGUACAUGCUACCUUCUUCCUGAAACUUUGCUGUUUUGCCCCCUCCUUCAGCUCUCAUGGGGCUUUGCUUAUAUUUGUUCUAUAAUCUUCUCUUAAUUUGCCUUUCUAGGAGAGUAACUUAUACACCUGUCUAUUCUUUCUUCCGCAUCCCUUCCCACUUCCAAAUGCAAGCUCCUAGAGGAUACAGGUAAGCACCUUGUGUAUGCACAGUGAGAUAGCACACGCCUGUCCCAGGGAAAGAAGACAGCAAGAAUUCCCUUUGGUUAAGUGGAGCAGCUGAGCAUCCAUACUUGGUUGUGAAUUUGACCAGGAUGUUCUCUUAACUCUACAUUACUUUCUACCAUUUCCACUGGGGAAAGAAGAUGUGUGUCCUUAAAGCUUCUUUGUUGGCACCUGUCAGUGUCAAGGAAGGAUCUGAGUCUUUGCCUGCCGAGACAGCCCUGAAGAACUCCUGUAAUGUCAAGCUUGCUAUUUCCAAGAAGCAGUCUGGGGCCUGCAUUCCCAAAGAGACCCACAAAGAAGAAAAGACGUGAAGCUAUGAAGUCCUGGCACCAUACAGACUUCACUGCCUGAUGCUGCCUGUUCCUUGGGUGGUGGGCUGAUAAGAGCAUCCCUGCUCUGCUGGCCCCUGAUUUUUACAGCCCCAGGAAUCCUUUGCUCCUUCAUCAAAUACAAACCUUAAAAUGAUGGUACUGAUGAGAUAGCCAUGAAAGAAAGCAUAUUAGGGACACUGCCUUUGUAGAAGUAGCUGAUUCCACUAAUGGGUGAUGGUUUUAGUAAGUGGGAAACUCUGACUCUGACUGAAAUGAGAUCUGUGUUCAAAAGAGGUUUUUAGUAUUCUUUUCCUCAGUGCCUAAGGUGGAAAGGACUGCCCUCAAUCUUACCACUGUCAUACCUCAUUGCACCAUCUUUUGGGGCUGAAUUUGAAAGACUUGGAAUCAUUCCUGCUUCCAGAGCCCCAGGACCUCACCCAAACUAGCACCAUUAACAACAGGACAUCCCACAGGGCUUCCAGAUCCAGCCUGGCCCGGGGUUUGCCACCACUGCAUGCUAAAUGACCACCCCAACCUGGAAAGAUGUGGGAGCACUGCCCCCCACCCACAAGCCUUGAUCCCCAAGAGCCUCACAAAGGAGGCAUGGUCCAUUUUCCCUGCAGGUAGGCUUAGGUUUCCAAACAUACUCUGAUGGAGCAUCUGAUCAGUGGAUGCCGACAGUUCUUCCCUCUCUUGGAGGUAUCAAUACACUGCUGUUUGUGAUCACAGUCAAGUGAGAAAGGCGAGAAGAGGGAAGUGUAGUCAGUGACCAGACUCACCUAGCACCCACAGAAGAAGAUGCCAGCCUAACAGCUGUCAGCCACACACAGGAGAUUACAGCUUCUCACCAACGAAAUUAAGCCACUUGCUCACCCUCUACUGAUGCUUUACCUCUAAGGUGCCACCAGUGUGCCUUCAUAGAGAUCCCCAAAGGACCGAGAAACUUGUGUAUUGUCUGUUAUUUCCAGAAAGGAUUUGAGAUGACUCGCCAUGGAGGGCCCACAGAUAAAACCGGUGGGGAGAAUAAAGAUAAGAACCAACUGAUGGAAAGAACAGAAAUGGUUGUAGAGAAAACCUAGGCCAAGACUAGGUGCUGCAGCUGAGCCCAGCACUUAGUCCUGGGCCUCCUGGCACUAAGGCGAAAAUAUCAAAGCUACGUAACCAUUGCAGAGUAUUGUCGAAAUGGCAUAGCACCUGACCUCUGGCUACAUUUCUGAAUAAAGAGUGGGUGUAUACUCAGUUUGUGGCAUCCACCUGUUGCCUGAGAGAUGUGGUGGCUGUAAUCUUCAUGGGUGGUACAGAGAUUAGCCCUAGGCUGCCCUGGCUCUCAGUGAUGUAAGGACAGACAUGGAAGGGGAUCUUUUCUAAAACUCCGAUCACCAAGGGAAGGCACUCAUCAGAACCCAUGGGGCCCAAGUACAUGGUCUUACCUCAAAGUCAUUCCCCUUGUUAUAGUGCAUAUUGAGAGUUCGAAAAAGUUCUGAGUCGCGGAGAACCACCAGCAUUUUGGGAUUUGUGACACCAUCUGAAAUUGCUUGCCGGGCAAAUUUCUCCAUUUGGAUAUAGAAAAACUCACGAAAGUUGCUGAACCACUUGAUCAUCUGGGAGGUAAUGCAGCGGUUGAACUGUACAAACAACAGGGUCCAUGAAGUCAGACAUUUGCCAUGAGGUGCUCAGAGUCAGAACUAUGAGCUUCCAGUUCAACACAGGGAUUAACAAGAAUGGCUUCUGUCGACAUUAAACAGGGCUUCCUUUAAAAAAGAAGCCACAGCUAUUUUCCAAACCUUUUCAGUUAUACACAGAAAAAUCUGAAUUAACCAAAAUGCCCAUUAAAAAAUAAAUGUUUUUUAUAGCCUAGAUUUAUGAAGAUUUUUCACACAGGCAGCAUCUCAGCCUGGAGCCAGAGAUGCCACUGCUUCCAUCCACAUGAAGGGGAGCUACAGUGCACACAUUCUGACCUAGGCCUUGCCUCACAUGGGAAGAACCUGCUGCCACUAGGGAGUUUUGCAGAGGCUGAAACUCAGUUGAAGGACUUUACCUGAACAUCUGGGAA
Molecule: long non-coding RNA, 4044 nt
Organism: Camelus dromedarius (Arabian camel)
Lineage: Eukaryota; Metazoa; Chordata; Mammalia; Artiodactyla; Camelidae
Exons: 3
Source: RefSeq, a predicted model, not a curated record